AAGCAAAACUAAACAAAUGGGACCUAAUGAAACUUAAAAGCUUUUGCACAACAAAGGAAACUAUAAGUAAGGUGGAAAAUCAACCCUCAGAAUGGGAGAAAAUAAUAGCAAAUGAAACAACUGACAAAGGAUUAAUUUC
Long non-coding RNA from Cervus elaphus (red deer), 139 nucleotides. RefSeq lists it as uncharacterized. The transcript is spliced from 2 exons. NCBI's taxonomy places the organism in Eukaryota, Metazoa, Chordata, Mammalia, Artiodactyla, Cervidae. The record is from RefSeq and is a predicted model, not a curated record.